UACCAAGUUGUGGACGAAAUGGUAAAAAUAGCCAUUUUCGCAUACGAGUGUUGACAAGCCAGCUCGAAAAUCGGAAACGGUCGGAGGCACGCUCACACUAUCUGUAUACCAUCUUGGCAUAAUGGCUUGUAUAUUUUGAGUAUGGCAUGUAUAGCAUUAUAAUCAUUUUAUAUGUAUGGUCUUAUGAUA
Molecule: long non-coding RNA, 189 nt
Organism: Gossypium arboreum
Lineage: Eukaryota; Viridiplantae; Streptophyta; Magnoliopsida; Malvales; Malvaceae
Exons: 2
Source: RefSeq, a predicted model, not a curated record